UCCGUCAUAGCUCAGUUGGUAGUAGCGCAUGACUGUUAAUCAUGAUGUCGUAGGUUCGAGUCCUACUGGCGGAG
RNAcentral lists this transfer RNA (74 nucleotides) under Streptococcus agalactiae. RNAcentral's name for it is "tRNA-Asn". It matches the Rfam family "tRNA". From Rfam's summary of the family: Transfer RNA (tRNA) molecules are approximately 80 nucleotides in length. Lineage: Bacteria; Bacillati; Bacillota; Bacilli; Lactobacillales; Streptococcaceae. The record is from RNAcentral. RNAcentral also lists the same sequence under 1 other name.